This 207-nucleotide ribosomal RNA is filed under the name uncultured bacterium. RNAcentral describes it as "partial 16S ribosomal RNA". It matches the Rfam family "Bacterial small subunit ribosomal RNA", at positions 568 to 774 of the family's 1533-position model. The record is from RNAcentral.
UGCGUAGGCGGAUUGGCAAGUCAGAAGUGAAAUCCAUGGGCUUAACCCAUGAACUGCUUUUGAAACUGUUAGUCUUGAGUGAAGUAGAGGUAGGCGGAAUUCCCGGUGUAGCGGUGAAAUGCGUAGAGAUCGGGAGGAACACCAGUGGCGAAGGCGGCCUACUGGGCUUUAACUGACGCUGAAGCACGAAAGCAUGGGUAGCAAACA